GAUGAACGCUAGCUACAGGCUUAACACAUGCAAGUCGAGGGGUAGCAGGGUAGCAAUACCGCUGACGACCGGCGCACGGGUGAGUAACACGUAUCCAACCUUCCCAUAACUCGGGGAUAGCCUUUCGAAAGAAAGAUUAAUACCCGAUAGUACUUAUAUAGGGCAUCCUACAUAAGUUAAAGAUUUAUUGGUUAUGGAUGGGGAUGCGUUCCAUUAGAUAGUUGGUGAGGUAACGGCUCACCAAGUCCUCGAUGGAUAGGGGUUCUGAGAGAAAGGUCACCCACAUUGGUACUGAGACACGGACCAAACUCCUACGGGAGGCAGCAGUGAGGAAUAUUGGUCAAUGGGCGAGAGCCUGAACCAGCCAAGUAGCGUGAAGGAUGAAGGUCCUAUGGAUUGUAAACUUCUUUUAUAGUAGAAUAAAGUGAUCCACGUGUGGAUUUUUGUAUGUAUACUAUGAAUAAGGAUCGGCUAACUCCGUGCCAGCAGCCGCGGUAA
This 498-nucleotide ribosomal RNA is filed under the name uncultured bacterium. RNAcentral's name for it is "partial 16S ribosomal RNA". It matches the Rfam family "Bacterial small subunit ribosomal RNA", at positions 28 to 523 of the family's 1533-position model. The record is from RNAcentral.